GAAGCAUUCUACCAGGAUUGACUUUGGGGACUGACGGCAGACUUUCCACUGGCCUGCCAGGCAGUCUUAUGGAGUUUUCACUGACUUUCUCCCCAGUAACACCUUGAUGGUCGUCAAUCAGAAAGGAGUCACCAGUGUAGAAACUCUUAGUAAAUGUCUUCCUCUAUGUGGGUGUGUUAUUAGGAGGUAGUGAGGGGUCACAGAGAGACCAUAGGAAUUAAAUAGACCAGGUUCCAGUCCCAACACUGCCCCUAUUAGCUGUGAGCCCCUAGAAGAGCCGUUAUUGUUCUUGCCUCAGGGUCCACAUCUGUAAAAUGGUGAUAAUAAUUACACCUGCUUUAUCUACAGCAUGUGGUUAUUGUAAGAGUGAGGUGAAGGAGUGCAUAUAGGAAAGUUAUGUAAAAGGAGAAAUAUUGUCCCAAGAGUUAACUAAUUUAAUGGUCGAGCAGACAAUACUGGGAAGAUGGUACCACUUCAUUGAAAUCAUUUAGUUUGCAACCAGAAUUGCUUUACUCCUGCCUUGUAGAGGAUGUUCUGUUAUGCUGGAUCAGAAGUUUCAUUCAAUGUGAAGUUGAGUUCCCCACUGCUCCACAUUUCACAAACUUUGUAGUUUCAGCAGUAUUAUGGGACUCAAUGUCAUUGUUCCGAUUUUCUCUGGCCAUUAUUCUUAGUUAUUUCCAUGGAAAACAAAAUUUGUUACUCUUUCUGUUUAUCACUGUGGAGGGAUCUGGAUAGUUGGACAUUCACUGCGGUAAAUAAAUUACAAGGGUUGACUGAUUGUUUUGGAAGAAAUCAGGAGCCUGACGGCACUUCCAUUUCAGUAAGCCAUUUUUCUGUCCUCAAGAGUUUUCAGAUGAAGAACUAUGAGAUGGUCACUUGCAAAAAUAACUGACAUUGGAAAACAAAAUGGAGAUGAUGAGACCCAAGGCUCAUAUAAAGCUUCCUCUUCCAAGUUGGUCAGGCAAAUGGGUUUCUGAGUAACGUCACACAGUCAUUCUGGGAGAUUUACAGGCAGCCUUGACCUUGGCUGGAAGGCCUUCCCUCUCUGUGAUGUUGCUGGUCACCAUACUUAACAUCUGUCUGUAUUGAGGUUAGCAACUGUGUAGACUGUGGAACCACAUAGCCCUGAGUUUAAAAUUUUUUUGAGCAUCAGAUUUCUCAUCUGCAAAGCAGGAAUAAUACAGUGGUGUCAUAGUGUUAUUGUAGGUUUCAGUGAGAUAAUACCUGAAAUAACACUUUAAAAAAGCAUCUAAAAUAGCAUGCCAGCACACAGUAGUUGCUCAAUACAUUUUGUACCCCGUCUCUUAUUUUUCCCUUCCCUACUCCUUUACAGCUGUGCACUGCACAACAACGUUUCAGUCAAUGAGGGACUGCGUAUACCACGGUGGUCCCAUAGGAUUAGUACCAUACAGAAGCUGAGUUAGAAGAAAAGAAUAAAAGCUCGUUAAUCCAGCACAUUGCAAAGUAGAAAAUUCUAGAGUCACGUAUUUCUCAAGUCCUCCGCCAUGAAUUUGCCUGAAGGAAAGAAUACUGAAGAGGAGCGGGGAGGCAAAGGAGCACUGAGCUCCGUCAGAGAGCAACUCUAAUGUUUUAACGUUUAUGCAAAAUUGAAAGUGCCGUUUCAUAGUGCUUAAAUUGAACAUAUAUAACUUUGCAAAUCUGAGAGCACAAAGUUUCCUCUCUAGGUUCUAGUUAAAAGUCCAUAAAAUUGCUUUUGGGGCCUAUUACUACUGCUCUUGAGAAAUACAGACUGCUUGAGUCCCGUGACGUUAUUUAUUCAUUUCCAUUCUUAAAAAAGAAUUUGAAGUGGCAAGUUCUGCGGUCCAUUGGGAAGAUUAUUGUGGUUGGCCAUAGAGAAACCAGUCUCCUGAUGCUGCACAAUUCUAAGAGUUGGAGGUUUGAAUGUGUGUCAUUGUCCUGAGACCAUCAGGCAGGAGGGAGAGGAGCGCUCACCCUCAGGCUGUGGUGCUUAUCAGGAGCCAUUCAUUCCCUUCUCCCAGGCAGACUAGACGAGCAGAUCUAUAAUCACAGCACCCUCCUUUGCCUUCAGCUUCACUGAAUUACAGCCUCUGAUAAUCUGCCAUGGAAGUGUGAUUGCUCUUGACUGCUUCUCAUAAAUUCUGAUGAGGAGGAUGCAGGCAUGGGAAUCACUGCCUUUUAUUUCCUUUCUACAGGAAAUCUCUAAGAUAAAUUCCGUUUCCUUGUGGCAGUCCACAGGCUUGGAGAUUCACUGUGAGGGAAAGGGUUGCUUUGGGACACUUCAUCCUCUGGCCACAUUCCUUGAGUGUUUGAUCAUUUCAGCACCAUUGUUUUCUCAAGUGAUGUCAAACCAACAUUUACUUCCCCCACCAUCUGCUACACUAAUGACCCCACUGGCACUUUGAGCAAAGCUACUGCCAACUUGGGACUAUGCAGGUAACUAGUAAUCUAGGUCACAUAAUUAAAUGCACACUAUUCCAUACUGCCUCCUGGAUCUCACACAGUGUGAGCUAUUACUGUAUAUACAGUGGGUAUAUCUAGCUGUCAUUUACAAAAGCCAACGCACUACAUCAGUAGCUGACUUUCCUUUCAGGGAGAACUUUUUGGACCCAAGA
Long non-coding RNA from Equus caballus (horse), 2594 nucleotides. RefSeq lists it as uncharacterized. The record is from RefSeq and is a predicted model, not a curated record. Lineage: Eukaryota; Metazoa; Chordata; Mammalia; Perissodactyla; Equidae.